This is a long non-coding RNA of Leucoraja erinaceus (little skate), 626 nucleotides long. RefSeq lists it as uncharacterized. The transcript has 3 exons. Lineage: Eukaryota; Metazoa; Chordata; Chondrichthyes; Rajiformes; Rajidae. The record is from RefSeq and is a predicted model, not a curated record.
CGUCUCGUGCUGGUGUCGCGGAUGUGGGUGCGCGCGCGCCCCCCGUCCCUCUCUUCACGUCCUCGGUUGCUCUGAGUUGCCCGUUUGCCAUUGGCCCGCGCCACUUGGCGAGUGGCGGGCGCUGCGUGGAUGUCGCCUUAAAUGUCUUUGAAAACGUGGUUAUGAGCUGCCUUCAAGAACAGCUGCAGUUCUUGUGAUGAAGAUGGCAGCUAUCAGAUACCAUAUUUUCAAGUUGGUGCUUUCACACACCUGCUUGGUAUGGGAGUUCCUGUCUAAGAAGCUGUGACGUGUUACUCGCUCCAUUACAACUCAUGGAUGGAUUGAAACAAGUUACCACUACUGGAGAACUAUACCUGCAUUACCCAAGUAUGCAAAGCUUUGCCAAGUUACUACAAGGUCACGCAAGAUGUUAAUGUGUGCUGUACCAUGGUAACCAUGUAACCCGAUUAACUUGAUGAAAAUGUGUUAAGUUUUUUAAAUAUGUCACUUCAUACUCUGCCUGCACUCUUGGGCGCACUUUAUGCAUUUAUUUGUUGAAGAAUUUUGCACACGUCAGCAAAUGCAAAUUAAAAUAAAAACACAUUUACUUAUGCAAAUUAAAAUAAAAACAGGUUUACUUAUGCAAA